GACCAGACCCAAUAUAGUUGACCAAGCUACCCAGGGAUAACAGCACAAUCUCCUCCAAGAACCCAUAUAGAUAAGGAAGUUUACAACUUCGAUGUUGCAUCAGGACAGCCUAAAGGUGCAGCCACUAUUAAGGGUUCAUUUUGUUCAACGAUUAACAGUUCUAUGUGAGCUGAGUUCAGCCCAGCGCAAUCCGGGUCGGUUUCUA
This 205-nucleotide non-coding RNA is filed under the name Cariama cristata (Red-legged seriema). RNAcentral describes it as "Bacterial large subunit ribosomal RNA". It matches the Rfam family "Bacterial large subunit ribosomal RNA", at positions 2436 to 2640 of the family's 2925-position model. Lineage: Eukaryota; Metazoa; Chordata; Aves; Cariamiformes; Cariamidae. The record is from Rfam by way of RNAcentral.